This 229-nucleotide ribosomal RNA is filed under the name uncultured bacterium. RNAcentral describes it as "partial 16S ribosomal RNA". It matches the Rfam family "Bacterial small subunit ribosomal RNA", at positions 568 to 796 of the family's 1533-position model. The record is from RNAcentral.
UGCGUAGGCGGAAUGAUAAGUUAGUGGUGAAAGCCUCCGGCUCAACCGGAGAACUGCCAUUAAUACUGUCAUUCUUGAGUAUAGUUGAAGUGGGCGGAAUGUAUCAUGUAGCGGUGAAAUGCUUAGAUAUGAUACAGAACACCAAUAGCGUAGGCAGCUUGCUAAGCUAUAACUGACGCUCAGGCACGAAAGCGUGGGGAGCAAACAGGAUUAGAUACCCUGGUAGUCC